UACGGAAGGCAGCAGUGGGGAAUAUUGCACAAUGGGCGCAAGCCUGAUGCAGCCAUGCCGCGUGUAUGAAGAAGGCCUUCGGGUUGUAAAGUACUUUCAGUCGUGAGGAAGGUGUUAAGGUUAAUAACCUUAGCAAUUGACGUUAGCGACAGAAGAAGCACCGGCUAACUCCGUGCCAGCAGCCGCGGUAAUACGGAGGGUGCGAGCGUUAAUCGGAAUUACUGGGCGUAAAGGGCACGCAGGCGGUUAAUUAAGUUGGAUGUGAAAUCCCCGGGCUUAACCUGGGAAUGGCAUUCAAGACUGGUUAGCUAGAGUCUUGUAGAGGGGGUAGAAUUCCAUGUGUAGCGGUGAAAUGCGUAGAGAUGUGGAGGAAUACCGGUGGCGAAAGGCGGCCCCUGGGACAAAGACUGACGCUCAUGUGCGAAAAGCGUGGGGAGCAAACAGGGAUUAGAUACC
Molecule: ribosomal RNA, 456 nt
Filed under: uncultured bacterium
Lineage: Bacteria
Description: bacterial SSU rRNA
Rfam family: Bacterial small subunit ribosomal RNA
Source: RNAcentral